RNAcentral lists this long non-coding RNA (493 nucleotides) under Brassica napus (rape). Its description in RNAcentral is "long non-coding RNA (BNAP_LNC008414)". The record is from RNAcentral. Lineage: Eukaryota; Viridiplantae; Streptophyta; Magnoliopsida; Brassicales; Brassicaceae.
GGACAUGGCUAAGAAGACAUAUUUCUUAAAAUGUGGACAUGGACUAAAUCUGUGGACAAAAAUUCGUGGACAAAAUCUGUGUAGGGUAAAAGGUCAUUUAUUCCUUCAAAGCUACACUGAUUUCAAUCAAGACACAAGGUAAUAGAGAGACUCGUUGACGGGAGAACCCUAAAACCAGACAAUCUGACAGAUCUCGGUGGAGGCUUCUCGGGAGUUCCCAAAUAAACAUGAAAUUGGGUAUCGUUUUGUGCUUUCGGUGAAAUUAGGGUUGAACUGGGAAAGUGAAUUUGAGUUGGGAGAAAAAACCAAAGAAAAUUGGAGAAAUUGCAGAGAUGGGGAUUGGAGAAUCAAACAAGCGGCAUGCCCUCUUCCUUCUCCGAUCUUCUCCGAUAAUUGAAGGUAUGGAAGCGUCGUGAGAUUAAGGUUAGGAAAAGGAUAAUUGAUGGAAAAGAGAAAGUAGAUCUGAGAAUCAUAGUGGGAGAGAGAAAAAUAG